Molecule: ribosomal RNA, 913 nt
Filed under: uncultured marine archaeon
Lineage: Archaea
Description: bacterial SSU rRNA
Rfam family: Archaeal small subunit ribosomal RNA
Source: RNAcentral
UCCGGUUGAUCCUGCCGGACCUGACUGCUAUCGGAUUGAUACUAAGCCAUGCUAGUCUUUGUAGUAAUACAAGGCAUACGGCUCAGUAACGCGUAGUCAACCUACCCUAUGGACGGGGAUAAUCUCGGGAAACUGAGCAUAAUACCCGGCAGACCACUUAUCCUGGAAUGGUUAGUGGUUAAAAUGAUUCGUCGCCAUAGGAUGGGACUGCGGCCUAUCAGCUUGUUGGUGAGGUAAUGGCCCACCAAGGCGAUUACAGGUACGGGCUCUGAGAGGAGAGGCCCGGAGAUGGGUACUGAGACAAGGACCCAGGCCCUAUGGGGCGCAGCAGGCGAGAAAACUUUGCAAUGUGCGAAAGCACGACAAGGUUAAUCCGAGUGAUUUCUGCUAAAGGAAUCUUUUGUUAGUUCUAAAAAUACUAGUGAAUAAGGGGUGGGCAAGUUCUGGUGUCAGCCGCCGCGGUAAAACCAGCACCUCAAGUGGUCAGGAGGAUUAUUGGGCCUAAAGCAUCCGUAGCCUGUUCUAUAAGUUUGCGGUUAAAUCUAUACGCUCAACGUAUAGGCUGCCGUAAAUACUGUAGAACUAGGGAGUGGGAGAGGUAGACGGUACUCGAUAGGAAGGGGUAAAAUCCUUUGAUCUAUUGAUGACCACCUGUGGCGAAGGCGGUCUACCAGAACACGUUCGACGGUGAGGGAUGAAAGCUGGGGGAGCAAACCGGAUUAGAUACCCGGGUAGUCCCAGCUGUAAACGAUGCAGACUCGAUGAUGCAAUGGCAUAGAGCUAUUGCAGUAUCGCAGGGAAGCCGUUAAGUCUGCCGCCUGGGAAGUACGUACGCAAGUAUGAAACUUAAAGGAAUUGGCGGGGGAGCACCACAAGGGGUGAAGCCUGCGGUUCAAUUGGAGUCAACGCCGGA